This 2888-nucleotide long non-coding RNA is filed under the name Marmota monax (woodchuck). The record is from RNAcentral. Lineage: Eukaryota; Metazoa; Chordata; Mammalia; Rodentia; Sciuridae.
CACAAAUUCACUCGCCAAAGUUUAAAAGUAAUCAAAUAUCAAUCCCAUAAAUUUUAGUUCUAUUCACACAGUGGAAACCUAUAAUAUUCAUGCUGGAGCUCUGGGUAGACUAAUAAUGAGAACAGUUCUCUCCAUUCACAAUGUCCACUGUGGUUAAUUAACAGAGAAGUGGGACAUAUUACAGAGCCCAGGAUAUUUUUAUAAUUCAUAGGAGCAGUGUUUUCAAUAUCUUGGGAAUUUGGAGAAAUAUCUAAAACACAAGUCAAAUUUUAUUAGAAUAAUUUCUCAAUAUCUUUGAGUUCUCAUGUUCUUUCUCUUGAGGGUUGGAGGAAAGGGGCCCUUGAUUCUUAUUGAUAAAGUAGGAAAGUUUUUUAGCUUUUUCCAGUGUUUAGAAACCUAUGGAAAAAGAAACAAGGGGCCUUGGACAGUUACAGGGAUAAAGCUCUUUGAGUUGUCGUGCUGAUAGUUUUUGCAGUUCAGACAGCUUUAUCAUCAGGGAUAAGGUCACAUGCUUCUCCCACCUUCUGCCUGACUGCUGAGAACUUCCUUCCUCAUGCCCCAAAAUUCUCUUUGUUAAAUAGUGACUGGUUGGCCCCUGACCUUCAGAGCAGUCCUAAAUGUCCACCUCCCAUGUCUGGCCUACCUUAACAACUCCAGUCCACCCUAGUGCCUUUCUUCCUUGAACUGAUGUUAUGAGCUUGCCACACAAGGUCACUUGUGGCUAUAAGCAUUCUAUGUUCUACUUUUCCUUCCCACCCCCUCAAUUACCCUAAAAGUUUCUAAACACUAAAAAGAACUUUAGAAACUUUCCUGGCUACCCAAAUUCCAUGUAAAAGUGGGAUUCAAAUUCUAAAAAUAAUAAUAAAUAAAGUGAACCCUUAAUAUAAUUAAUAAAGUUCUUCCUCAUGGAAUAAUUCUUCUCUCAGAUGGUAAAAAGUGUAGACUAGAAGAUAUCUCUCUGGAUAAGCAGACUACAUGAAAAAUCCCCAACCACCUAGUAAAACAUCAGUGAAUUUUAUCAGAAAUAUUAGAAAUCCAACAAUUCUGGUGCAUUUCCCAGGAUUGUCAAAUUGUGGUGGCUUAGAGUGGCUCCUGAUCUUUGUCACAUCAUGGGUCACAUGGACAAUGACAGUGUUUGCACUGCACCCUGAGGUGAAAUAAGAGGCCUUGCUGCGGGGAGCAGCAGAAGUGGACAAGAAGGCCUGUCCAGCUGGCACUCAUUGCCAGUUCCUCAUCAAGCAGUCUCUCUCGAGGAUAAUCAGUGUGGGGAGAAGAAGCUUGGGGAGGGGUCACAACUCUGUGGAAAGUAUGCCUUCAACCCCAAGUGACUAGGGAGGAAAGGCCCAGUUUAUUGUUAUUUUGUAAUUUUAUUUUACCUAUUAUAUGUUAUUUUUACAUUAUUUAUGGUCGUGGGCUGCACAACGGUUUAUUCAGGACCACAUGACCUGGUCAAUGAGGGAUUAGGAAAAGGACAAAUAGACACAAAAAUAGAGAAAAAUCUGGGGCUUGGAGUUUCAGCCUGCCGCUGGUGGAGGAAGCUGGGCACUAGCCAACUGGGCACAUUCAUUAUGUAGGUUUCAACAUCAGAUGGACUUAUUGUGAGAAAGGUCUUCAAGAUAAACAAAACCAAAGCUGAGGGUAAAACCAGCCCAGUUAGAACUUAUCAGCUUGUGCCCAUAAUCUUCUACCUCCAGGCAGCAGAUGUUUGAACCCCAGAUUAUGAACUAAUAAAAGAUCUUGGCUAGCAAGGAAUUUCCCUUUGAACAGGGCAUCACCAUACAGCCUGCUGCUGCACCAUGAUGUGGCAGAGGGCAUCUAAGGCAAGACAGAGCAAGCAUGCUGCAGGGUGGUUUUCACAGCACCUUUGCUCUAAGAAAUUCCCAAGAUAGGUGUCCCCUCUGUCUCUGGGCAGUUCAUCAUUAGGUUUUUAUUUCUUACAUUCAUUUUUUUAUUUAUAUAUGAAGCAUUAAGUUGUGAAAAUAGAGGAAGACUAUUAUUCCUCCAUUUCAUUGAUUCCUUUCACUAAAUAAAGAAGUGAGACAAAACAAGGACAGAUGAGAAGUGAGAAAGAAGAGUGGUACUAGCACUAGAAAUAGUUCCUGUUUCCCAGACUUCUGGAUUCUCAAUUUCAGGAGACUUUGCUGGUCAUUGCUGCCCCUGGUCCAGACAGAUUUAUAAAAAGAUGCACAAACCUUAACAUGAUGCAGUUCUGUACAUAGAUGAGCUGUUCUUGGUCUAUUUCUGUUGCUAUGGCAAAGUAUCUGUGGCUGGGUAAUUUAUAAAAAAUAGAGUUUUGUUUAGCUUAUGGAUCUAGCAGCUCAGAAGUCCAAGGGAAGGGUGCCAGAGUCUGCUCAGCCUCUGGAGAGCCUCCUGCUGCACCAUGAUGUGACAGAGGGCAUCUAAGGCAAAUCAGAGAGCAAGCAUGCUGCAGAGAACUUGCUUUCAUAACAGAGUCACUCAGUGACAAAUUCAGCUGUGAAUAGUCCACCCAUUCAGGAGGGCUGCCCUUCUGACCCAGUCACUGCUCAAAGACCCCACCUCCAAAUGCCAUUAACAUAUAAACUUGGGGACUAUGCUUCCCAACAAGAAAUUCGGGAUGCAUUCAAACCACAGCAGACACCUCAAGUGGCCUUCACUGUCUUUGCCAAGUAUGAAAGACGAUAGAGAUGUGCACUCCUCUACUUUAGGACUAAUGUUUUAACGUGUCAGAGGGAGGGUGCCACUUUCAUGCCCUCUUCCUCUUAUAGAUCUCCUCAUCAGCUGCUUUGUGACUAUAGCUUUCAGGGAAAACUGGCUGUGCAUUUGCUUUACACUUUAUUCUACAAGCAACUGCAAACCACUGAAAGUCUUGCCUAAAUCUGACUUUCAAAAAAUAACUAACAUAGCAG